GAUAAUCAGAAAAAAUUAACUCCCAUUAAAAUCAAGGUUAAGAAUUUCUACAUCAACAAUGAGAAUUCACCCAUCACUAUCCCAAAUUUAGCUAUAUUAAACUAGACUAAAGUGAUUCCACCCUCAAAACCUCUCAAAAAGUAAUCUUCUCAAUUCAUCAAACUAUAAGUAAAGAAAAUGACUAAGGCAACUAUAUAUAGUUAUUGCCUUUAUACAAAUAUUCUAUUAAAAAAUAGACCAAAAGUGGCUAUUUAUAAAACAACCCAAAGAUACCUUCUUCAUUACCCAAAUGGUAUCUUGAUUGCUUGUGGCCUUUGUAUUUAUUACUUCAUGAAUUUCUCUAGUCUCCAAGUUACUAUCCAUAUGUAGAAGCCCCUCUUGGUGUGCUCCAAGCUUGUAGCUCUUGUAUCAACAGCUCAUAUUAGUCUAUUCGACCCUCAACAAUCAAUAUUUCAUAAAAAAACCAUCUCAUCAGUUAUCAUACAUGGUUAAGUUAUAGUCAUUUCAAUAUACCUCAACCAUUCAAGGAAUAAUACCAAC
RNAcentral lists this long non-coding RNA (540 nucleotides) under Capsicum annuum. RNAcentral's name for it is "long non-coding RNA (CANN_LNC004792)". The record is from RNAcentral. Lineage: Eukaryota; Viridiplantae; Streptophyta; Magnoliopsida; Solanales; Solanaceae.